This 72-nucleotide transfer RNA is filed under the name Biomphalaria glabrata. It matches the Rfam family "tRNA". Rfam says of the family: Transfer RNA (tRNA) molecules are approximately 80 nucleotides in length. Lineage: Eukaryota; Metazoa; Mollusca; Gastropoda; Planorbidae. The record is from Rfam by way of RNAcentral.
GCCUGGAUAGCUCAGUUGAUAGAGCGUCGCUCUAAUAACGCGAAUGUCAUGGGGUUGAUUCCGAUUCUGGCA